This is a long non-coding RNA of Humulus lupulus (European hop), 156 nucleotides long. RefSeq lists it as uncharacterized. NCBI's taxonomy places the organism in Eukaryota, Viridiplantae, Streptophyta, Magnoliopsida, Rosales, Cannabaceae. The record is from RefSeq and is a predicted model, not a curated record. The transcript is spliced from 3 exons.
CAUCUGUGCGCUCUGCUACUUUCUUGGAAUUUGGUAACAUUGAGUCUCCAAUGUAUACCAGACUUAGACAGUUUUUUUCCACUAUUUAUAGCAGGAUGCAGGUAAGAGCACCAUCACAGCCAGUGGUUGUGUCUAUACCAAUAUUGCAUUAUGAUG